CCACGGGGGGCAGCAGUAGGGAGUUUUCGGCAAUGGGGGGAACCCUGACCGAGCAACGCCGCGUGAACGAAGAAGGUCUUCGGAUUGUAAAGUUCUGUUGUAGGGGAAUAAAGGUCGGAAGAAGAGAAUGUUUCCGAUUUGAAGGUACCCUGCCAGAAAGCCACGGCUAACUACGUGCCAGCAGCCGCGGUAAUACGUAGGUGGCAAGCGUUAUCCGGAAUUAUUGGGCGUAAAGAGUGAGCAGGCGGCCUUUUAAGUCUGAAGUCAAAUGCAGUGGCUCAACCACUGUCCGCUUUGGAAACUGAGAGGCUAGAGUACGAGAGAGGUAUAUGGAAUUCCAUGUGGAGCGGUGAAAUGCGUAGAUAUAUGGAGGAACACCAGUGGCGAAGGCGAUAUACUGGAUCGAUACUGACGCUCAGUCACGAAAGCGUGGGUAGCAAAUAGGAUUAGAUACCCUAGUAGUCCACGCCGUAAACGCUGAGAACUAAGUGUUGGGGUGAAACCCAGCGCUGAAGCUAACGCAUUAAGUUCUCCGCCUGAGAAGUACGGUCGCAAGACUGAAACUUAAAGGAAUUGACGGGGGCCCGCACAAGCAGUGGAGCAUGUGGUUUAAUUCGAUGAUACGCGAAGAACCUUACCAGGGCUUGACAUAGUUCUAAGACUCUAGAAAUAGAGGGAUAUACAGAACAUACAGGUGGUGCAUGGUUGUCGUCAGCUCGUGUCGUGAGAUGUUAGGUUAAGUCCUCCAACGAGCGCAACCCUUGUCCUUAGUUACCAUCAUUAAGUUGGGGACUUUAAGGAGACUGCCGGUGUAAGCCGG
Molecule: ribosomal RNA, 820 nt
Filed under: uncultured bacterium
Lineage: Bacteria
Description: bacterial SSU rRNA
Rfam family: Bacterial small subunit ribosomal RNA
Source: RNAcentral